Molecule: long non-coding RNA, 548 nt
Filed under: Vitis vinifera (wine grape)
Lineage: Eukaryota; Viridiplantae; Streptophyta; Magnoliopsida; Vitales; Vitaceae
Description: long non-coding RNA (VVIN_LNC007661)
Source: RNAcentral
UUGACUUCAAAUUAAUUGGAAUUGCCUUCUCGUUUUAGCUUAUAUUAAGUGCACCUCUCCCUACUUGAUGAUUCUUUAUGGACACUCGUUUCUUCAUCUAGGCAGGGAUCAGAAGCUGAGAGAUAGCCGUAAACUCUGAAGUGGUAGCUUUUUAUCUACUUUCUUUCUUUAAAGGCGUACAUCCAGUCCAAGCAGUUGCUCCCAGCUAGCGGAAAAGGUGAAUGUGAAUUCAUUUUUAUUAAAAAGAUGCUAUUUAAGCAUCAAGAUUGUGUUGGUGUUCAGUCAGCUGUACUAAAUGCAGAUUUGGAUGCCUCGUAUGAUAAAGAAGAGAGUUUUUACAAAGAUGAAGACCUAGAAAGCCCUAGAGCUAGAGCUUGUUGAGAAAGUUGCUUUGAAGAUGGGCUUCCUAUGGGAAAGAGGGAAGUUUAAAGCGAUAACAAAGGCCGUAGGGGAUAGGAUGUCUUUCUGCGUCUACUGAUGCUAAUUCGGAUGCUUUUGAAACAGCCUUGGCUAUCGGUCAUGUUCUCGAUCCUCGUUCCCACUCCCAU